RNAcentral lists this ribosomal RNA (491 nucleotides) under uncultured bacterium. RNAcentral describes it as "bacterial SSU rRNA". It matches the Rfam family "Bacterial small subunit ribosomal RNA", at positions 26 to 507 of the family's 1533-position model. The record is from RNAcentral.
AGGAUGAACGCUAGCUACAGGCUUANACAUGCAAGUCGCGGGGCAGCAUGAAUUUAGCUUGCUAAAUUUGAUGGCGACCGGCGCACGGGUGAGUAACGCGUAUCCAACCUGCCCACCACUUGGGGAUAACCUUGCGAAAGUAAGACUAAUACCCAAUGACGUCUCUAGAAGACAUCUGAAAGAGAUUAAAGAUUUAUCGGUGAUGGAUGGGGAUGCGUCUGAUUAGCUUGUUGGCGGGGUAACGGCCCACCAAGGCGACGAUCAGUAGGGGUUCUGAGAGGAAGGUCCCCCACAUUGGAACUGAGACACGGUCCAAACUCCUACGGGAGGCAGCAGUGAGGAAUAUUGGUCAAUGGGCGAGAGCCUGAACCAGCCAAGUAGCGUGCAGGAAGACGGCCCUAUGGGUUGUAAACUGCUUUUAUAGGGGAAUAAAGUGAGCCACGUGUGGUUUUUUGCAUGUACCCUAUGAAUAAGGACCGGCUAAUUCCGUG